Non-coding RNA from Paramuricea clavata, 414 nucleotides. The record is from the annotation of a GenBank genome assembly. NCBI's taxonomy places the organism in Eukaryota, Metazoa, Cnidaria, Anthozoa, Malacalcyonacea, Plexauridae.
GUUUAACCAUCGACAAGGUAAAUCCACAACUUUGUCCAAAUUCGGCGCCAUUUUGUCAUCCCAUGUCGCUUGUUAGCAAUUCAGCCUUGUUACUCUUCCAUCCAAGCCAUUUCCAUUCCACUAAUAAUAAAUUUAACCCUUUAUAACAGGAGGAAACUAAAAAAUCUAAACAAAAUAUAAGAAAUACGCCAUUUUAUCACCAUGUAAAAUUUUGCUCACGAGUCUUUCAAAACAUUCCGUACAAAUAUCGCGUGACAAAGUAACAGGGACGUGACAGGAGGGGGUGAACUAUUUCACGAAGAUAGAAGAAGGCUGCGUGAAAUAGACUAAAAGCUAAAUACAAUCAUACAAAUGUUUGUUUUAUUUCUUGUAGCGACAAAUAUAUACAUAUUAUUAUUUAUUAAUAUAAAAAAG